GUGGAUUUACGGAGGAAGGUUUGAUUGAAUCUCUCAAUCUGAUGGAAUGAUGGAUCGAAGUGAUUGACUCUCUCAAUCUGUGUACUGAGAUUGUUUGAUUUUCACAAACAAACUAGACUCACGAAAUCAAUAAGACAGCAAAGAAUCUCUCUUGAAUCCUAAAGACCGUUAUUUUAUACAAAGAACAACUUUGAUAAAACUGAAUAAACUUUCUAUUAACUUGGUGAUUAAGGGUGUCUCUUUAGAAUGACUAUCUA
Molecule: long non-coding RNA, 257 nt
Filed under: Brassica napus (rape)
Lineage: Eukaryota; Viridiplantae; Streptophyta; Magnoliopsida; Brassicales; Brassicaceae
Description: long non-coding RNA (BNAP_LNC026591)
Source: RNAcentral